GACGAACGCUGGCGGCGUGCUUAACACAUGCAAGUCGAACGGAAAGGCCUGCUUUCCCUUGUGGAUUGCGGGUACUCGAGUGGCGAACGGGUGAGUAACACGUGAGUUAUCUGCCCCCAACUUGGGUAUAAGCCUGGGAAACUGGGUCUAAUUCCCGAUAGGACUGCAGGGUGGUGCCUGUGGUGGAAAACGAUUUUCUAGUGGUUGGGGAUGAGCUCGCGGCCUAUCAGCUUGUUGGUGGGGUAAUGGCCUACCAAGGCGGCGACGGGUAGCCGGCCUGGGAGGGUGGACGGGCACAUUGGGACGGAGAUACGGCCCCGACUCCUACGGGAGGCAGCAGUGGGGAAUAUGGCACAAUGGGCGGAAGCCUGAGGCAGCGACGCCGCGGGGGGGAUGACGGCCUUCGGGUGGUAAACUCCUUUCGACCGCGAGGAAGCCACCUGGUUGGAAGGGUGGUGACGGUAGUGGUAGAAGAAGCACCGGCUAACUACGUG
Molecule: ribosomal RNA, 494 nt
Filed under: uncultured bacterium
Lineage: Bacteria
Description: partial 16S ribosomal RNA
Rfam family: Bacterial small subunit ribosomal RNA
Source: RNAcentral